GGCAAAGUUCCAACUCCUAAUGGCUCCGCAGCUCUUGAAAAAGAGGUUUACAAGCUGGGGACCAAGCGCUCAAAGCAUAAGCCUGUGGAGGAUGUUUCAGAUUCAAACCAUAACCGGUAGCGGAGAAUACACAAGGGCGGCGUGCUCUAUUGCACACUUGCUUCCUGUUAAAUCUGCCCUUUGGACUGAAACGGACUCACAGCUGUAGCGAACCAGACCGUGCUGCUGGCAGGAAGCAUGGGACUGUGUUCUCAUGGGCUGUGCCCAUGCAACAGAGAGUGUCUACAGCACAGUGCAGACCAGCCCCUGCCAAUCCAGGCUAGAAUUUCCUCCUGCUUUCUCCCUCUCUCUUUACUUUUGUGACAUGCUAAGAUGUCAAGAAUCACCCGGUUCAUUAGAUUUGCUACAUUUUCCCAGAAGCCUCUGUUUUGUUCAUCUUCUUUUGGGGCACACAGAUUUCUGAGGGUAUUCAAAGAACAAAAUUGGGGUUUGAAGUUCAUUCCUAAGAUACCCACCGAGCAUCACAGCAGCGCCCACGAGACUCUUAAGACAACAACUCCCCUCAGUUUCUCUCUGCGACUGACAUGCUUCAUAACAAAACUUGGAAAGGAGGAUGUCACUGCGCCAUCAUGGGUUCACAGAUAAAGCUGCAGGACAAGGGCUGUUUGGAGAGCCCUGCUCAGGGGUCCCUUCUUCGGCUGUUGAGGUUACCAGGGGUUCCUCAACGAGGGACGAAAACAUCUCUGGGGACGGCCCUGCUGGCUCCAGCCCCACAGCAGUGUGCCUGGGGGGAAUGCCAGUUCCUCCUCUCUCUCUGGUGAGCUCUCUCUGAUGAGCUCCCCCUAAUUCCCUCUUUUUUUUUUCCCCAUGUUUUCUAUUCUUAUUUUAUUUUUAACUUCUUGUUCUUGGCACAAGAGUGUGUGUUGAUUUGCUCACAACAAUCACCUUUUGCCUCGAGAGUCAUACAGAAUGUUUUAGGUGUAUUCUUUAGAAAUCUUGGGCCAUAUUCUGUUUUGGAGGGGCUGGAAAGUAACCAGAGGAUCACCAGAGCACAGGCUCACUUACUCAGCCUUCUGUCUGGAUGAUGCUCUGUCUCCUGCCACCCAAUUUUACGCUCAAACCCUGUGACACAUAAGCACUUCCAUGGACUUGGUCCUCCCUGGACAAGGACUCCAUGGUUUCUUGCAGUUCUGUGCUCUAUCAUGGAGCUUCCAGGCCUCUCUUUACCUCUCAAAAUGCUACUUCUCCUUGGUUCCUCUCCCUUACUUCAACCCUCACCUCUUUCCUCUGUUUCCCCUUUAAAAAUCUGUAGUCCCUGAGCUGCAUGGAACUGGCUGUCACUUGCUUCCUGAAGAGACAGGUAGUCCAAAAGUAUUAGUCGUACAUAUUUAGGUCUUUGGGGCGAGGAGAUGGCAAGAUAGUAAACUCCGGCCGUCUUUUUAUUCUUCCAUGAUUGUAAAGUCUAGUCCAUUUCUGUGUUCUGACUGUUUUGAUCAUGACUCUUCAGGCUUCCCCGAUGAAGACAUUGUCUUAGUGCCACUUCUUUUGAAGUAUCUGAGGCCUCAAGAAAGCGAAUCAUGAAUAUGAUCUGAUAGAAAUCUGUGUUAAUGCAUGACUGCACAACAACUAGACAGUAGCUAGACAGUGGUAUAGGCAUUGGGGACAAACAGAUUGACUGGACAAAUUCCUGCCUUCAGGCUUUCUGAGUCUCCUUAUGGGUGAAGACAUCUCAUGGCACCACCAGUGUUAAGGAAGAUGACAUAGGCACCCAUCAGAGGCUUGAGUUGGGUUUGGGUGGAGAUGGAAUAGACAUGUGGCCUCUGGGAUGGGUAGAACCAUUUGAGAUAUUUAAAGGAAGACAGGAUGAUGUGGAUCAAAGAAAGGGUUUAGAACAAUGGUUCUCAACAUGUGGGUCGCAACCCCUCUACCUCCAAAAAUAUUUA
Molecule: non-coding RNA, 1943 nt
Organism: Myodes glareolus (Bank vole)
Lineage: Eukaryota; Metazoa; Chordata; Mammalia; Rodentia; Cricetidae
Source: RefSeq, a predicted model, not a curated record